AUACUUACCUGGCAGGGAAGAUAUAUGCUCACGAAGGUGGUUUUCCCAGGGUGAGGUGCACCCAUCGCACUCCGGGUGUGCUGACCCCUGCAGUUUCCCCAAGUUCGGGAAACUCAGCUGCAUAAUUUGUAGUAGUGGAGGACUGCAUUUGCACUCUCUCC
Molossus molossus (Pallas's mastiff bat) is the source of this 161-nucleotide small nuclear RNA. RefSeq annotates it as U1 spliceosomal RNA. The record is from RefSeq and is a predicted model, not a curated record. NCBI's taxonomy places the organism in Eukaryota, Metazoa, Chordata, Mammalia, Chiroptera, Molossidae. The transcript has a single exon.